GACGAACGCUGGCGGCGUGCCUAAUACAUGCAAGUAGAACGCACAGUUUAUACCGUAGCUUGCUACACCAUAAACUGUGAGUUGCGAACGGGUGAGUAACGCGUAGGUAACCUGCCUGGUAGCGGGGGAUAACUAUUGGAAACGAUAGCUAAUACCGCAUAAUAUUAAUUAUUGCAUGAUAAUUGAUUGAAAGAUGCAAUUGCAUCACUACCAGAUGGAACUGCGUUGUAUUAGCUAGUAGGUGAGGUAACGGCUCACCUAGGCGACGAUACAUAGCCGACCUGAGAGGGUGAUCGGCCACACUGGGACUGAGACACGGCCCAGACUCCUACGGGAGGCAGCAGUAGGGAAUCUUCGGCAAUGGACGAAAGUCUGACCGAGCAACGCCGCGUGAGUGAAGAAGGUUUUCGGAUCGUAAAGCUCUGUUGUAAGAGAAGAACGGGUGUGAGAGUGGAAAGUUCACACUGUGACGGUAUCUUACCAGAAAGGGACGGCUAACUACGUG
RNAcentral lists this ribosomal RNA (505 nucleotides) under uncultured bacterium. RNAcentral describes it as "partial 16S ribosomal RNA". It matches the Rfam family "Bacterial small subunit ribosomal RNA", at positions 28 to 507 of the family's 1533-position model. The record is from RNAcentral.